Molecule: non-coding RNA, 81 nt
Organism: Triticum urartu
Lineage: Eukaryota; Viridiplantae; Streptophyta; Magnoliopsida; Poales; Poaceae
Source: Rfam
GCCUUGAUGGUGAAAUGGUAGACACCCGAGACUCAAAAUUUCAUGCUGAAGAGCAUGGAGGUUCGAGUCCUCUUCAAGGCA